GUCCUACGGGGGGCAGCAGUGGGGAAUAUUGCACAAUGGGGGGAACCCUGAUGCAGCGACGCCGCGUGAGUGAAGAAGUAUUUCGGUAUGUAAAGCUCUAUCAGCAGGGAAGAUAAUGACGGUACCUGACUAAGAAGCCCCGGCUAACUACGUGCCAGCAGCCGCGGUAAUACGUAGGGGGCAAGCGUUAUCCGGAUUUACUGGGUGUAAAGGGUGCGUAGACGGGAAUGUAAGUUAGUUUUGAAAUCCCUCGGCUCAACUGAGGAAUUGGAACUAAAACUGCAUUUCUUGAGUGCAGGAGAGGA
RNAcentral lists this ribosomal RNA (305 nucleotides) under uncultured bacterium. RNAcentral's name for it is "bacterial SSU rRNA". It matches the Rfam family "Bacterial small subunit ribosomal RNA", at positions 335 to 658 of the family's 1533-position model. The record is from RNAcentral.